RNAcentral lists this ribosomal RNA (393 nucleotides) under uncultured bacterium. Its description in RNAcentral is "partial 16S ribosomal RNA". It matches the Rfam family "Bacterial small subunit ribosomal RNA", at positions 523 to 918 of the family's 1533-position model. The record is from RNAcentral.
CUACGGAAGGUCCGGGCGUUAUCCGGAUUUAUUGGGUUUAAAGGGAGCGCAGGCGGAGAUGCAAGCGUGACGUCAAAUUUCGGGGCUCAACCCCGUCUCGCGUCGCGAACUGCGUCCCUUGGUUGCGGGAAGGGGAGGCGGAACUCGUGGUGUAGCGGUGAAAUGCAUAGAUAUCACGAAGAACUCCGAUCGCGAAGGCAGCCUUCCGGCCCGUCAACGACGCUCAUGCUCGAAGGUGCGGGUAUCAAACAGGAUUAGAUACCCUGGUAGUCCGCACAGUAAACGAUGGACACCCGCGGUUUGGCCUAUAUGGCUGAGCCGCCAAGCGAAAGCGUUAAGUGUCCCACCUGGGGAGUACGCCGGCAACGGUGAAACUCAAAUGAAUUGACGGGG